CCUGACACGGUGGCAUAUUUAUUUACAGGUCGAUUUUCAGAACGUGGCAUUUAAACUUUUGCAAGGAAAUAGGUGGACGAAAUUGUUUGAAACAACAUUGACGCUAUUGUAAAAAGCUUCAAAAAUGUGUGGUAAGUUAUCUUAAGCAAUGAUUUGAUGUUUAACUGCUUUAUAAGUUGGAUAGUUGUGCAACUUUUUGUCAAAAUAUGCACUACAUACUGCAUAUUUUCAUAUGACAUAUCACUGUCAGAUACUUUUACUGUAACUAUCAGCGAUAUUUCCUAUUCCGGUUUUACUUUAACGAAUGCAUUGCCGAACAAUUUAGACUGGUUUACUCGUCAUUGUAACUUGUUCAAGGAUUGCAAUAUAUUUGCUAAAACCAGACUAGCUAAUCUUGGUAGUUUGGUUCUUGGCAGGACAUUUAAUAUCACUGAGCUUUUUUCCAAAUAUUUUGUAGGGAUUUUUGCCUAUCUAAAUUACUUGGUACCCAGAGAUAGAAAAUUUAUCAUCGAUACACUAAUAAAAGGCCUACAGCGUUUGGAAUACAGAGGUUAUGACUCAACUGGUAUGUUUUAAUACAUUUUCAAUUUGUUACAAAAUUUUGUGUAUAUUUUGAGAACUUCCUAUACUGGAAUUUUGCUUUCCAGGAAUUGGUAUUGAUGGUGAUGUUCAAUUGCAUGGCUCAGAUUUGAGGCAAAUAAAGUGAGU
Paramuricea clavata is the source of this 708-nucleotide non-coding RNA. The record is from the annotation of a GenBank genome assembly. Lineage: Eukaryota; Metazoa; Cnidaria; Anthozoa; Malacalcyonacea; Plexauridae.